Molecule: ribosomal RNA, 404 nt
Filed under: uncultured bacterium
Lineage: Bacteria
Description: bacterial SSU rRNA
Rfam family: Bacterial small subunit ribosomal RNA
Source: RNAcentral
UGGGGAAUAUUGGACAAUGGGCGCAAGCCUGAUCCAGCAAUGCCGCGUGAAUGAUGAAGGCCUUAGGGUUGUAAAGUUCUUUUAGUGGGGAAGAUAAUGACGGUACCCACAGAAAAAGCUCCGGCUAACUUCGUGCCAGCAGCCGCGGUAAUACGAAGGGAGCUAGCGUUUUUCGGAAUUACUGGGCGUAAAGCGCGUGUAGGCGGCCGAUUAAGUUGGAAGUGAAAUCCCAGGGCUUAACCCUGGAGCUGCUUCCAAAACUGGUUGGCUAGAGAGUGACAGAGGAUGGCGGAAUUCCUAGUGUAGAGGUGAAAUUCUUAGAUAUUAGGAGGAACAUCGAUGGCGAAGGCAGCCAUCUGGGUCAUUUCUGACGCUGAGACGCGAAAGCGUGGGGAGCAAACAGG